GUUGAGGUACAGGCUGUGCCUCAUACUGGAGAGGGCCCUGGCUCUAGCAGA
Molecule: microRNA precursor, 51 nt
Filed under: Chlorocebus sabaeus (green monkey)
Lineage: Eukaryota; Metazoa; Chordata; Mammalia; Primates; Cercopithecidae
Description: miRNA (ENSCSAG00000026633.1)
Source: RNAcentral